CUAAUAUACAGGUAUAUUAUACAGGUCAUGUCUAAUAUACAGGUCAGGUCUAAUAUACAGGUCUAAUAUACAGGUCAGGUCUAAUAUACAGGUCUGUUCAGUGCCAGUAUGCAUGAAUUAUGAAUGAAUGAUGAAUUUUGUUCCUACAGCUGGACGGAGGAAUUGAACCAGUUAUGGGUCUGGAGAAAGAAGGGGUCAUUUAUACACACCAGGCUGUCAAUCAGGAUUAUGAUGAAUACGGUAAAGACAAGAAGACGGGAUCAGGGCCAGUCCUCCCAUUAGACCGUCGCCUAUGGCAGCACCUGAAUUUGAGGCGAUAUUUUGACAAUUGUCUGCCGCCCUCCGUCGCCCCUGUUCGGUCACUACACCGCCCGCGGCGCCCAGCCACCAGCUCAUAGUGUUGCUACAGUUACCUCCCCCACCCCAUUCCCCCUUCUCCCGAAGUUCACUCACACUAUCCUUGGUAGGAAUGGUGAUGUCUGUCUUUAUAUGGGAUUAUCCAAUUGUGAAACAUGAAUAAAUUAAUCUUCCAAAUAAAUGAUUGUAUUUUGUUUAAGUGUGUUUGUGAGGAAGACGAUUAGUGAUUAAGGCAGUAGCCUAAUUUAAUACGUGUUAUGUACACAUUCUGCCCUUGAGUUGCAUUCCCAUGCAAAACUAGACAGAUAGCUAACAACUAAGUCUUCAAUAAAACUCCCAAAUCGUGA
This is a long non-coding RNA of Oncorhynchus kisutch (coho salmon), 704 nucleotides long. RefSeq lists it as uncharacterized. The record is from RefSeq and is a predicted model, not a curated record. The transcript has 2 exons. NCBI's taxonomy places the organism in Eukaryota, Metazoa, Chordata, Actinopteri, Salmoniformes, Salmonidae.